UUCGUAGGGGGCAUUUUAAGUUUGAUGUGAAAUCCCGAGGCUUAACCUCGGAACUGCAUUGAAAACUGGAAUACUAGAGUAUCGGAGAGGAGAGCGGAAUUCCUGGAGUAGCGGUGGAAUGCGUAGAUAUCAGGAAGAACAUCGAUAGCGAAGGCAGCUCUCUGGACGAUUACUGACCCUGAGGGACGAAAGCGUGGGUAGCGAACAGGAUUAGAUACCCUGGUAGUCC
Molecule: ribosomal RNA, 229 nt
Filed under: uncultured bacterium
Lineage: Bacteria
Description: partial 16S ribosomal RNA
Rfam family: Bacterial small subunit ribosomal RNA
Source: RNAcentral